GAGUCCAGCCUCUUACUGAGAACAGUCCCUCCCUUGUGCGGGUCGCACGGCUAGCCGCAGGUUCGGCCACGUCAAAUCCAUUUUCUAAAAAAGCAGAGAGCAGAGCUCUCUCUUCGCCGCCGACGCAGAAAGAAGGAGCUGGGGAGGAAAAAGCUGCUGCUUUUUGCGCUGGAGAUUCGUGGGCAAGGCUUCUCAUUUUCCCAGGCUGCUUCCCCUCCCGGGUGAGGAGCGCCCUGAGACUAAGGAAAGAGCCUGGAAAAUGGAGCAGACCUGGACGAGAGAUUAUUUUGCCGAGGAUGAUGGGGAGAUGGUACCCAGAACGAGUCACACAGCAGAAAUGAAUUUCCAUCUUUUCUGAACAUAAAAAAAAAAAGAAUUCUAAGAAGUUGACUGAAGCAUCUGGGUGCUUUUUCUUGGGCUCCUUCUGCUUUUCCUAGUGGCACUAAAGAUCGAGGCCCUCCAGUGCAGUCACAGAUCUGGAGAAGUGGUGAAAAGGUCCCUUUUGUGCAGACGUAUUCCUUGAGAGCAUUUGAGAAACCCCCUCAGGUACAGUCCCAGGCUCUUCGAGACUUUGA
RNAcentral lists this small RNA (575 nucleotides) under Pongo abelii (Sumatran orangutan). Its description in RNAcentral is "processed transcript". Lineage: Eukaryota; Metazoa; Chordata; Mammalia; Primates; Hominidae. The record is from RNAcentral.